GAAAACCACCAUAAAUUUCCACUAAACCAACCAGCAAAAUUCGUUCUUGGUGAAGCUCAAGUUGCUCCUCUCUUUUGUGGUAAGUUACUAAACCCGUUUUUACACUAGACAGCUAUUAGUGUUUUCUUCAUAUCUUUUGUAUAGAGCUCUGUUUCAAGUGAUUUAAGACUUUUUGGAAAGUUAUUUUAUAGAUCUAUAACUCUUAUGAUAGGAACCAAAAUCUGAUUUAUCUUUUAUUUACCCGAAAAUAGGUGAUGAAGUACAGGACAGGUGCUGCCCAGAUUUUCUGUUUUACAAACCCUCCCUGUACUACUGUUAGUAAGUUUAGCAUAACCUUUUGUACAAAAUUGAUAUGGGGGUGAUUCAAGAUGUUCUGAAACUCUAAGACACAUAUCUACAACUGUAAAGAAGACCACAUAGUCCAG
Molecule: long non-coding RNA, 425 nt
Filed under: Nicotiana tabacum (common tobacco)
Lineage: Eukaryota; Viridiplantae; Streptophyta; Magnoliopsida; Solanales; Solanaceae
Description: long non-coding RNA (NTAB_LNC013139)
Source: RNAcentral